CCUACGGGAGGCAGCAGUGGGGAAUAUUGCGCCAUGGGCGCAAGCCUGACGCAGCGAUGCCGCGUGAGGGAUGAAGGUCUUCGGAUCGUAAACCUCUGUCAGCAGGGAAGAACGGUCACUGUGCUAAUCAGCAGUCAAUUGACGGUACCUGCAAAGGAAGCACCGGCUAACUCCGUGCCAGCAGCCGCGGUAAUACGGAGGGUGCGAGCGUUAAUCGGAAUUACUUGGCGUAAAGCGCACGUAGGCGGUCUGUCAAGUCAACGGUGAAAUCCCCGGGCUUAACGUGGGAACUGCAUUUGAAACUGGCAAACUGGAGUGUGUGAGAGGAUAGUGGAAGUCCAGGUGUAGGGGUGAAAUGCGUAGAGAUCUGGAGGAACAUCAGGGGCGAAGGCGACUAUCUGGCACAUAACUGACGCUGAGGAGCGAAAGCGUGGGUAGCAAACAGGAUUAGAUACCCUAGUAGUC
Molecule: ribosomal RNA, 465 nt
Filed under: uncultured bacterium
Lineage: Bacteria
Description: partial 16S ribosomal RNA
Rfam family: Bacterial small subunit ribosomal RNA
Source: RNAcentral